Molecule: transfer RNA, 68 nt
Filed under: Gonatocerus sp. ZCS-2018
Lineage: Eukaryota; Metazoa; Arthropoda; Insecta; Hymenoptera; Mymaridae
Description: tRNA-Phe
Source: RNAcentral
AUUUAAAUAGUUUAAAAUUUUAAAAUAUAAUAUUGAAAAUAUUAAGAUAAUAAAUUUAUUUUUAAAUA